This 594-nucleotide ribosomal RNA is filed under the name Salmonella enterica. RNAcentral describes it as "partial 23S ribosomal RNA". It matches the Rfam family "Bacterial large subunit ribosomal RNA", at positions 595 to 1190 of the family's 2925-position model. Lineage: Bacteria; Pseudomonadati; Pseudomonadota; Gammaproteobacteria; Enterobacterales; Enterobacteriaceae. The record is from RNAcentral.
GACUGCGUACCUUUUGUAUAAUGGGUCAGCGACUUAUAUUCUGUAGCAAGGUUAACCGAAUAGGGGAGCCGGAGGGAAACCGAGUCUUAAUUGGGCGUUAAGUUGCAGGGUAUAGACCCGAAACCCGGUGAUCUAGCCAUGGGCAGGUUGAAGGUUGGGUAACACUAACUGGAGGACCGAACCGACUAAUGUUGAAAAAUUAGCGGAUGACCUGUGGCUGGGGGUGAAAGGCCAAUCAAACCGGGAGAUAGCUGGUUCUCCCCGAAAGCUAUUUAGGUAGCGCCUCGUGAAUUCAUCUCCGGGGGUAGAGCACUGUUUCGGCUAGGGGGCCAUCCCGGCUUACCAACCCGAUGCAAACUGCGAAUACCGGAGAAUGUUAUCACGGGAGACACACGGCGGGUGCUAACGUCCGUCGUGAAGAGGGAAACAACCCAGACCGCCAGCUAAGGUCCCAAAGUCAUGGUUAAGUGGGAAACGAUGUGGGAAGGCCCAGACAGCCAGGAUGUUGGCUUAGAAGCAGCCAUCAUUUAAAGAAAGCGUAAUAGCUCACUGGUCGAGUCGGCCUGCGCGGAAGAUGUAACGGGGCUAAACCAU